AUUGAACGCUGGCGGCAGGCCUAACACAUGCAAGUCGAACGGUAACAGGAAGCAGCUUGCUGCUUUGCUGACGAGUGGCGGACGGGUGAGUAAUGUCUGGGAAACUGCCUGAUGGAGGGGGAUAACUACUGGAAACGGUAGCUAAUACCGCAUAACGUCGCAAGACCAAAGAGGGGGAGCUUCGGGCCUCUUGCCAUCGGAUGUGCCCAGAUGGGAUUAGCUAGUAGGUGGGGUAACGGCUCACCUAGGCGACGAGCCCUAGCUGGUCUGAGAGGAUGACCGGCCACCCUGGAACUGAGACACGGUCCAGACUCCUACGGGAGGCAGCAGUGGGGAAUAUUGCACAAUGGGCGCAAGCCUGAUGCAGCCAUGCCGCGUGUAUGAAGAAGGCCUUCGGGUUGUAAAGUACUUUCAGCGGGGAGGAAGGGAGUAAAGUUAAUACCUUUGCUCAUUGACGUUACCCGCAGAAGAAGCACCGGCUAACUCCGUG
RNAcentral lists this ribosomal RNA (490 nucleotides) under uncultured bacterium. RNAcentral describes it as "partial 16S ribosomal RNA". It matches the Rfam family "Bacterial small subunit ribosomal RNA", at positions 30 to 507 of the family's 1533-position model. The record is from RNAcentral.